UGCUGAACGACAUUUGAUCUUUUGAAAAGAAUACCUCCCAGGGUCAGAAAAUCUUAGUAAAGAUUGUACAUUCUCUCUUGAGACUCCAUUUCUGCACACAGCUGGGGCUCAGCAAAUGCGUGUUGAUUCACGCAGACGCUCAUUCAGCUGUUCUCUAACGCCCUCCAUUUCUCAAGGAGUGCGCGGUCUGUUUCCUCCGCCAGCAGCAAGUGCGAACAGCCCCCACAGGCUCUGCUAAAGAGCCCGCCGCAUUUUCACAGGCGGAACGGUCACGGGGGAGUCCUGCAGCGCCCCUUCUCCCACUCCGCAGAGCCAACGUCAGGCGCUGUCUGGGAGCCACCCAACUAGGAGAGGUAAGUUAACUGGAAAGCAAAGUCCCUGCAGGACCAGCCUGGGGAAGUGGCCCCGAGGGGUGAAACGGAAGACAAAACAGAACCGCUUUUGGUUUACAAACUACCCAAGAAAAACCAGCCUCUUUUUCACUUGUCUUUUGACCAAAAAGUGUAUUAGCCAAACUGAGGCCCUGCCUAAUCCAGCAAGCCGGCUUCUGAAUGUCUUUCGCCUCUUACCACAAAUCCAACCCACUUCAAAGAAUGAAGAUUUAUCACCACAGAGGCCACAGGCUCUGAAAGGACAUCCCUCAAAGAGUUCCCACAAUGUCCGGAGGAGGACGGCGCGACUGAGACAAAUGUGCAAGCUCUCCCAAGUAGACGGCCCCAAGGACUCACAUUUAUUUGCUGGUCUAGGUUUCAAGAUUUUCAUGGAAAAUAAUCACAUGACUUCAUGGCUGUCUUUCCUUUAUUGAUGUCACUGCUGUCAUUUGUACAUUUGCUGAUGUCACUGUUCUCAUAACAUACCGUGUUUACUGCCAUCCCUCUUGAGACAUCUCAACUCUUCAAACUCAUCCACAAGCUCCCUCUCCCACAACACACCCAUCUGUCUGUCAUUGUCACAUCUGCACACUGAUCCAGACCGUUCUGCCCUAUAAAUGACACACUGUAACCUUGGUAGAGUGACUCCCAUAAGCUGCAGGAGUUCUGCUCUGUGAACACAGGCAGAAGAAUGGUUUUCCAAGACAGGGUCCCAAGACACAUCUGGAAACAACCACAUCAUGAGAGAGUCAUGAUAUUGUGUGUGACUGGUUUUCAAUUUCAUUUUAACUUUAGAAUGCAUUUUUAUAAUAAGACUAAGACUGGAUUUAACAAAAUAUAAAGUAGUUUCAGUAAUAUAUGGUACCUUUAAAUUAAAUGCUCCCCCCCAACAGAAGAAACAUAGCAAAUUUCUUUAAAAGAUCGUUUUCUUGUUGGAGCAACAAAUGCCAGCCUUAACCUAGAAGAAGCCCUAGUUUCUGUUUUCAUUCCUGUCUCCAGAAAGGUACAAGAUUAUGAAGUUUGUGAUGUCCACGUCCAUCUGUUUGAUUUUAGUUGCUUGACUUACACCUUGAAUUAAAUUCAACAUAAUAAAAAUAGAAAUUGCGGCAAAUAUUUUAUACUUUAUAUCUUGCCUAGAUGAAAAGAAAUAGUGGAUUAAAUGUUGAUCUGCUUUUUUAGAGAAUUUCAGAACAAUGCGUUAUUUUCUCAUUGUUCUUCAAAAGCUCUAAAAACCUGGGAUCCUUGGACUCACAAAUCAUAUCGUUGAAAGAGGCGAAUGUUUUUUGUAUAGGUAAGGAGAUUGAGGUCCAAAGAAAUGUAGUUAUUUCAACAAGGGUUCACAGUGACUGGGGGCAGAACCAGGACCAAAACUCUCCU
RNAcentral lists this long non-coding RNA (1748 nucleotides) under Equus caballus (horse). RNAcentral describes it as "lncRNA (ENSECAG00000054564.1)". Lineage: Eukaryota; Metazoa; Chordata; Mammalia; Perissodactyla; Equidae. The record is from RNAcentral.